CCCCUCGAGAGUGGCGAACGGGUGAGUAAUAUAUCGGAACGUGCCCAGUCGUGGGGGAUAACGUAGCGAAAGUUACGCUAAUACCGCAUACGAUCUACGGAUGAAAGCGGGGGACUCGCAAGAGCCUCGCGCGAUUGGAGCGGCCGAUAUCAGAUUAGGUAGUUGGUGGGGUAAAGGCUCACCAAGCCAACGAUCUGUAGCUGGUCUGAGAGGACGACCAGCCACACUGGAACUGAGACACGGUCCAGACUCCUACGGGAGGCAGCAGUGGGGAAUUUUGGACAAUGGACGCAAGUCUGAUCCAGCCAUUCCGCGUGCAGGAUGAAGGCCCUCGGGUUGUAAACUGCUUUUGUACGGAACGAAAAGGUCUCUAUUAAUACUAGGGGCUCAUGACGGUACCGUAAGAAUAAGCACCGGCUAACUACGUGCCAGCAGCCGCGGUAAUACGUAGGGUGCAAGCGUUAAUCGGAAUUACUGGGCGUAAAGCGUGCGCAGGCGGUUAUGUAAGACAGAGGUGAAAUCCCCGGGCUCAACCUGGGAACUGCCUUUGUGACUGCAUAGCUAGAGUACGGUAGAGGGGGAUGGAAUUCCGCGUGUAGCAGUGAAAUGCGUAGAUAUGCGGAGGAACACCGAUGGCGAAGGCAAUCCCCUGGACCUGUACUGACGCUCAUGCACGAAAGCGUGGGGAGCAAACAGGAUU
This 700-nucleotide ribosomal RNA is filed under the name uncultured beta proteobacterium. RNAcentral describes it as "bacterial SSU rRNA". It matches the Rfam family "Bacterial small subunit ribosomal RNA", at positions 85 to 779 of the family's 1533-position model. Lineage: Bacteria; Pseudomonadati; Pseudomonadota; Betaproteobacteria. The record is from RNAcentral.